This 276-nucleotide ribosomal RNA is filed under the name uncultured prokaryote. Its description in RNAcentral is "partial 16S ribosomal RNA". It matches the Rfam family "Bacterial small subunit ribosomal RNA", at positions 524 to 801 of the family's 1533-position model. The record is from RNAcentral.
UACGUAGGGGCUAGCGUUAUCCGGAAUUACUGGGCGUAAAGGGUGCGUAGGCGGUCUUUCAAGCCAGAAGUGAAAGGCUACGGCUCAACCGUAGUAAGCUUUUGGAACUGUAAGACUUGAGUGCAGGAGAGGAGAGUGGAAUUCCUAGUGUAGCGGUGAAAUGCGUAGAUAUAGGGAGGAACACCAGUGGCGAAGGCGACUCUCUGGUCUGUUAUUGACACUGAGGCUCGAAAGCGUGGGGAGCAAACAGGAUUAGAUACCCCGGUAGUCCCUGAG